Molecule: ribosomal RNA, 2788 nt
Filed under: Vibrio cholerae
Lineage: Bacteria; Pseudomonadati; Pseudomonadota; Gammaproteobacteria; Vibrionales; Vibrionaceae
Description: bacterial LSU rRNA
Rfam family: Bacterial large subunit ribosomal RNA
Source: RNAcentral
AGCGUACACGGUGGAUGCCUGGGCAGUCAGAGGCGAUGAAGGACGUACUAACUUGCGAUAAGCGCAGAUAAGGCAGUAAGAGCCGUUUGAGUCUGCGAUUUCCGAAUGGGGAAACCCAACUGCAUAAGCAGUUACUGUUAACUGAAUACAUAGGUUAACAGAGCAAACCGGGGGAACUGAAACAUCUAAGUACCCCGAGGAGAAGAAAUCAACCGAGAUUCCGGUAGUAGCGGCGAGCGAACCUGGAUUAGCCCUUAAGCACUCGGUGAAGUAGGUGAACAAGCUGGAAAGCUUGGCGAUACAGGGUGAUAGCCCCGUAACCGACGCUUCAUCGAGCGUGAAAUCGAGUAGGGCGGGACACGUGAUAUCCUGUCUGAAUAUGGGGGGACCAUCCUCCAAGGCUAAAUACUCCUGACUGACCGAUAGUGAACCAGUACCGUGAGGGAAAGGCGAAAAGAACCCCUGUGAGGGGAGUGAAAUAGAACCUGAAACCGUGUACGUACAAGCAGUAGGAGCACCUUCGUGGUGUGACUGCGUACCUUUUGUAUAAUGGGUCAGCGACUUAUAUUCAGUGGCAAGGUUAACCGUAUAGGGGAGCCGUAGCGAAAGCGAGUCUUAACUGGGCGCUCAGUCUCUGGAUAUAGACCCGAAACCGGGUGAUCUAGCCAUGGGCAGGUUGAAGGUUGAGUAACAUCAACUGGAGGACCGAACCGACUAAUGUUGAAAAAUUAGCGGAUGACUUGUGGCUAGGGGUGAAAGGCCAAUCAAACUCGGAGAUAGCUGGUUCUCCCCGAAAGCUAUUUAGGUAGCGCCUCGGACGAAUACUACUGGGGGUAGAGCACUGUUAAGGCUAGGGGGUCAUCCCGACUUACCAACCCUUUGCAAACUCCGAAUACCAGUAAGUACUAUCCGGGAGACACACGGCGGGUGCUAACGUCCGUCGUGGAGAGGGAAACAACCCAGACCGCCAGCUAAGGUCCCAAAGUAUUGCUAAGUGGGAAACGAUGUGGGAAGGCUCAGACAGCUAGGAUGUUGGCUUAGAAGCAGCCAUCAUUUAAAGAAAGCGUAAUAGCUCACUAGUCGAGUCGGCCUGCGCGGAAGAUGUAACGGGGCUAAGCAAUACACCGAAGCUGCGGCAAUGUCUUUUAGACAUUGGGUAGGGGAGCGUUCUGUAAGCCGUUGAAGGUGAAUCGUAAGGUUUGCUGGAGGUAUCAGAAGUGCGAAUGCUGACAUGAGUAACGACAAAGGGGGUGAAAAACCUCCUCGCCGGAAGACCAAGGGUUCCUGUCCAACGUUAAUCGGGGCAGGGUGAGUCGACCCCUAAGGUGAGGCCGAAAGGCGUAAUCGAUGGGAAACGGGUUAAUAUUCCCGUACUUCUGACUAUUGCGAUGGGGGGACGGAGAAGGCUAGGUGGGCCAGGCGACGGUUGUCCUGGUUCAAGUGCGUAGGCUUGAGAGUUAGGUAAAUCCGGCUCUCUCUAAGGCUGAGACACGACGUCGAGCUACUACGGUAGUGAAGUCAUUGAUGCCAUGCUUCCAGGAAAAGCCUCUAAGCUUCAGAUAGUCAGGAAUCGUACCCCAAACCGACACAGGUGGUCGGGUAGAGAAUACCAAGGCGCUUGAGAGAACUCGGGUGAAGGAACUAGGCAAAAUGGUACCGUAACUUCGGGAGAAGGUACGCUCUUGAUGGUGAAGUCCCUCGCGGAUGGAGCUGACGAGAGUCGCAGAUACCAGGUGGCUGCAACUGUUUAUUAAAAACACAGCACUGUGCAAAAUCGCAAGAUGACGUAUACGGUGUGACGCCUGCCCGGUGCCGGAAGGUUAAUUGAUGGGGUUAGCGCAAGCGAAGCUCUUGAUCGAAGCCCCGGUAAACGGCGGCCGUAACUAUAACGGUCCUAAGGUAGCGAAAUUCCUUGUCGGGUAAGUUCCGACCUGCACGAAUGGCGUAAUGAUGGCCACGCUGUCUCCACCCGAGACUCAGUGAAAUUGAAAUCGCUGUGAAGAUGCAGUGUACCAGUGGGGUUGUAGUAUUGUCCCGGUGUAAAUUUACUUCAGGUUGGCACUGAACAUUGAACCUACAUGUGUAGGAUAGGUGGGAGGCUAUGAAGACGUGACGCCAGUUGCGUUGGAGCCGUCCUUGAAAUACCACCCUUGUAUGUUUGAUGUUCUAACUUAGACCCAUUAUCUGGGUUGAGGACAGUGCCUGGUGGGUAGUUUGACUGGGGCGGUCUCCUCCCAAAGAGUAACGGAGGAGCACGAAGGUGGGCUAAUCACGGUUGGACAUCGUGAGGUUAGUGCAAUGGCAUAAGCCCGCUUAACUGCGAGAAUGACGGUUCGAGCAGGUGCGAAAGCAGGUCAUAGUGAUCCGGUGGUUCUGUAUGGAAGGGCCAUCGCUCAACGGAUAAAAGGUACUCCGGGGAUAACAGGCUGAUACCGCCCAAGAGUUCAUAUCGACGGCGGUGUUUGGCACCUCGAUGUCGGCUCAUCACAUCCUGGGGCUGAAGUCGGUCCCAAGGGUAUGGCUGUUCGCCAUUUAAAGUGGUACGCGAGCUGGGUUUAGAACGUCGUGAGACAGUUCGGUCCCUAUCUGCCGUGGGCGUUGGAAGAUUGAAGGGGGCUGCUCCUAGUACGAGAGGACCGGAGUGGACGAACCUCUGGUGUUCGGGUUGUGUCGCCAGACGCAUUGCCCGGUAGCUAAGUUCGGAAUUGAUAAGCGCUGAAAGCAUCUAAGCGCGAAGCGAGCCCUGAGAUGAGUCUUCCCUGACAGUUUAACUGUCCUAAAGGGUUGU